AGGCCUGAAGAGAGAGGCAGGGUCUGAUCCAUAGCCUCUGUGGAAGCUGUUGGUCAGCCCUUGCCUCUCGCUUUCUCUCCA
This is a non-coding RNA of Myotis lucifugus (little brown bat), 81 nucleotides long. The record is from Rfam. NCBI's taxonomy places the organism in Eukaryota, Metazoa, Chordata, Mammalia, Chiroptera, Vespertilionidae.